AAGAGCCGUAUGAAGGGAGACUUUCACGUACGGUUCCGAGAGAGGCUGAGGGUGAAAUUCCCUUGGUCUACUCGAC
RNAcentral lists this non-coding RNA (76 nucleotides) under Bacteroides ovatus. The record is from RNAcentral. Lineage: Bacteria; Pseudomonadati; Bacteroidota; Bacteroidia; Bacteroidales; Bacteroidaceae.